Molecule: small nuclear RNA, 25 nt
Filed under: Arabidopsis thaliana (thale cress)
Lineage: Eukaryota; Viridiplantae; Streptophyta; Magnoliopsida; Brassicales; Brassicaceae
Description: snRNA_16813
Source: RNAcentral
GAUAAGCUCCAAAGUAUCAAAAUAA